GUCCAGCCGCCGCGGUAAUACCGGCAGCCCAAGUGAUGGCCGCUGUUAUUGGGCCUAAAGCGUCCGUAGCUGGCCGCGCAAGUUCGUCGGGAAAUCCACUCGCUUAACGAGUGGGCGUCCGGCGAAAACUGUGCGGCUUGGGACCGGAAGAUCCAAGGGGUACGUCCGGGGUAGGAGUGAAGUCCCGUAAUCCUGGACGGACCACCGAUGGCGAAAGCACCUUGGAAGGACGGAUCCGACAGUGAGGGACGAAAGCUAGGGUCUCGAACCGGAUUAGAUACCCCUGUAGUCC
This 292-nucleotide ribosomal RNA is filed under the name uncultured bacterium. RNAcentral describes it as "partial 16S ribosomal RNA". It matches the Rfam family "Archaeal small subunit ribosomal RNA", at positions 456 to 747 of the family's 1478-position model. The record is from RNAcentral.